Molecule: non-coding RNA, 2255 nt
Organism: Cyanistes caeruleus (blue tit)
Lineage: Eukaryota; Metazoa; Chordata; Aves; Passeriformes; Paridae
Source: RefSeq, a predicted model, not a curated record
CGCCGAGCGGCCGAGAAACAAGAUGGCGGCAGGGCCGUGAGGCGUCGGGGCGGAGGCUCCGCCCUUUUUUGUCCCCCCCCCCCUUCCCCUCCUCGGGCUGGGCCGCGGCGGCGCGCGCGGGCGCGUGACCCAGCAGGGAUCUCGCGAGAUUUGCGGGGAGGCGGGAACGUGAGGGACCGGGACGUGCCGUGAGGGACCGGGACAGUCUGGGAGUGGUCUGAGGGGUGACCGUGCCUUGAGGGGCUGCCAAAUUCUGUCUCUGGCAUAGAUCUGCCCUGUCCUAAACCCCCGCGUGUCCACCUCUAGGCCUCUUGUGGGGAACCUUCCAAUGUUUUUCUUGCUUUAUAAAUAAAAAGCAGAAAUGCUGCGAUAUUUUUCAAGUUUGCUUCUCUGUCAAGUAUCCUCGUAAUAAAUUGUGUGGUAAAUAAAUCCGUUAGAGAUGCUGGAUAAAAAUGCUUAGGGUAUGAUGAGUUGAAAUGUACUUUUCUCCACACCGGGAUUUGGCAAUUUCUGGGAACUUUUUUAAUAGGAGUUCGUUUGAAGUGCAAUUUAAACACAUGCAGUGUUCCUGAGUUGACUCACUCCCAGAGUCCCAUUAUGUAGCUCAACUAUAUCUGCCCACAAAAGAAGAAAAAGAACUGUUUUACAUAUCUGGGAGACCACAGAGUUCUGAUUGUUCACAUUGUGGGAGAAAAAUAUUCCUGAAAUUGAUUUAAAUAGAUAAAGGAAUAAAAGAUCCUUUUUUUUCUCAGAGUGGAGACUGGAAGCAGCUGAUAAUCAGAAGAAAAACCCAAGAGCAGCCCUAAAGGAAGGGGAAGCAAAGGCUGCCUUGACAUUCCCCUCAAACCCAUCAGUUCUGGAACAACAUCCAACGGGAGUAACGAGGAAAAAUAGGAAAAGGAUCCCAUCCCAAAGAUUCUCCAGGUGCCUGCCUGGAUCCUCCAAGAUCCCUUCCCCAUGUGACAGUUUCAUCCUGUGGAUCCUCACAAUUCCAUGGAGGAACCUAAGGAAUUUAUUCCCACCCCUGGAUGGAUUUCUGUUAUUAUCCAUGCACCGAGGACGACGAUCCAUCCCCACAAUUCCCUGGAAAACGCCCCAUUUAUUAAUUAAUUACCGAGCACUGUUGCUCCUGCUGCCAGGCCCAGCUGUCCCAGCACCCAGCUUGGAUGCAGCUCCUCUCCAGGGAUUUCUGGACAAUCCCCCCUUGCUCCUCCUCCCGCCGGAUCCUUUUGUGCGGCUCCGUUUCCUCCCCACCUGCUCCCUUUUCCAGCCGCAAUGGAUCCAUUGUCUGGAGCUGCUCGGCUUUUCCCACAGGGAUUGCAGCUCCACAGAGCUCCCUGUCAGCCUGCCCGGAACGUGGAGGAGCCAAGGAAAACAUGAAACAGGGAAGGGAAGAAAAAAAAAAGGAAAGGAGAAAGUGCUUUUACAGGAAUUUGGUGGUGCUUUGAUGAGUUUGGACUUACCCAGCACCUUGCAACUGCUCAUCCCAAACCUCCCAUGCUUCCCAGUGCACCCCAGACCUAGAUUUGGGAGCCAAGGAUUCGUCUGGCACCAAGGAAAAUCAGCUCAGAGCAGCAGAGACAAGGCUGACCCUUCCCAGCUCAGCCCCUGCCAUCCCCUGGGAUUCCUGUUUCAGCAGGACUCUGGAUUUAUCCCAAACCAGCUGUUGCUUUGGGGCAAUAAUCCACAGGCACGGGAAAACCUGGAUAUAAAUUCUUUCUGGACAUGGACACACUUGCUUUAUGGAUCUGCAGGAAAAAGAGGCCAUUUAGGGCCAGAUUUUGGGGCCUGACCCUUUGUGCCACAUCCCACCUGGUGCCUCUCCUAGCUGGGAUGAUCCAUAUGGUAUUAAAGGAUAUCUAAGGAUAUUUAGGAAUAUGUCUAUGCCUGGACACUGAUUUGUUUAAACCUUCUGCUUUGAAAUUAAACCCCUGGGAAUAUAUUUUGACCUUUGGGUGUUCCCAAAGGAUUCCUUGAGGGCCCACAAUUCCUGAGGGAUGAUCCAGGAUCAACUGUGGGCUUGUGGGUCCCCUUUUGUGCUCAGGUUUGAACCUGUGUGCCAGGAAAUUUUACUUUUUCUGAUCCAGAUGGGAAUUCCCAAGGGAAUCCUGGUCUCCCUCAUUUUCCCAGCCCUCAUUUCCUAAGGAAGAGCUGACAGAAAUCAGGAAAACCCCACAAAACUUUAGGAUCAGCACUGGGAGCUGAGGUGCUCAGCCUGGUGAUGACUGGGAGGCCUCAUUCCCAAUAUUCCCACU